GUCAAAAUUCCCGAGAGGUCAAAGGGGUCAGACUCAAGUUCUGAUGCAAUUGCUUCGUGGGUUCGAAUCCCACUUUUGACA
This 81-nucleotide transfer RNA is filed under the name Lotharella vacuolata. Its description in RNAcentral is "tRNA-Leu". It matches the Rfam family "tRNA". Rfam says of the family: Transfer RNA (tRNA) molecules are approximately 80 nucleotides in length. Lineage: Eukaryota; Cercozoa; Chlorarachniophyceae. The record is from RNAcentral.